GCCCCCGCGCACGCGCGCCGGGCCCCUGCGGCCGCCGCAAUCCGGAGUCCACCGAGAGCCUUUCACGAAUAAGCGGAAUAUUGCAGUUGCUCUCUUCCCGGGCGCGGCGGACGACGGUUAGCGGGACGCUGGUCCCGGCGCGCGCGAGGCGCACCUGCGGACGCUAAGGGGCGGGGUCCGGGGGUGGCGAGCGACACAGACCCUUCACCUGCUGGGAGUCGCACUGAAAACACGCGGCACUGCUCACAUUUUGGAACGCUGCCGAGAAGUACAGAGUUCAGUUCUAGUUUGGGGUCAGGCGGAACCUCUGGAGGUCAUCUCAGAAAGCUGCUAGAAAUACCUUGUUUUAAGACGUGUGGAAAUACGAUCGACAAAAGCAUCUACAUUGAAUCGGUUGUAGCGGUUUUGCACAUUCCAGCAAAAUAAACGUUUGGGCGUCGAAGCAAACUGUGAACAUUUCAGUAUAAAGGAUGUGGCCGAAGUGCCAUCCCGUUAAGAGCUUACUUGGGGAAGUUUGGGUGUGCUUACGGAGCAAGAUUACCAAGGUGGCAUUUCUGAACUGCAUUUUAUACUCGUCGGUUGUUUUAUGAAGGACUGACCUUCGGAAUAAAAAGGAUGUUUGGGUAUCACUUUGUCUUAAUCCUUUUGUCCAAUAAAGGAACUUGUCAUUUUUACCAGUAA
This is a long non-coding RNA of Suricata suricatta (meerkat), 681 nucleotides long. RefSeq lists it as uncharacterized. The transcript is spliced from 2 exons. NCBI's taxonomy places the organism in Eukaryota, Metazoa, Chordata, Mammalia, Carnivora, Herpestidae. The record is from RefSeq and is a predicted model, not a curated record.